Molecule: ribosomal RNA, 468 nt
Filed under: uncultured bacterium
Lineage: Bacteria
Description: partial 16S ribosomal RNA
Rfam family: Bacterial small subunit ribosomal RNA
Source: RNAcentral
GACGAACGCUGGCGGCGUGCUUAACACAUGCAAGUCGAACGGAAAGGCCCUGCUUUUGUGGGGUGCUCGAGUGGCGAACGGGUGAGUAACACGUGAGUAACCUGCCCUUGACUUUGGGAUAACUUCAGGAAACUGGGGCUAAUACCGGAUAGGAGCCCCUGCUGCAUGGUGGGGGUUGGAAAGUUUCGGCGGUUGGGGAUGGACUCGCGGCUUAUCAGCUUGUUGGUGGGGUAGUGGCUUACCAAGGCUUUGACGGGUAGCCGGCCUGAGAGGGUGACCGGCCACAUUGGGACUGAGAUACGGCCCAGACUCCUACGGGAGGCAGCAGUGGGGAAUAUUGCACAAUGGGCGGAAGCCUGAUGCAGAAACGCCGCGUGCGGGAUGACGGCCUUCGGGUUGUAAACCGCUUUCGCCUGUGACGAAGCGUGAGUGACGGUAAUGGGUAAAGAAGCACCGGCUAACUACGUG